RNAcentral lists this ribosomal RNA (251 nucleotides) under uncultured bacterium. Its description in RNAcentral is "partial 16S ribosomal RNA". It matches the Rfam family "Bacterial small subunit ribosomal RNA", at positions 524 to 776 of the family's 1533-position model. The record is from RNAcentral.
UACGUAGGUCCCGAGCGUUGUCCGGAUUUAUUGGGCGUAAAGCGAGCGCAGGUGGUUUAUUAAGUCUGGUGUAAAGGCAGUGGCUCAACCAUUGUAUGCAUUGGAAACUGGUAGACUUGAGUGCAGGAGAGGAGAGUGGAAUUCCAUGUGUAGCGGUGAAAUGCGUAGAUAUAUGGAGGAACACCGGUGGCGAAAGCGGCUCUCUGGCCUGUAACUGACACUGAGACUCGAAAGCGUGGGGAGCAAACAGG